AAGAGAGUGACAGAUGGGUAAUGUGACUGGCUUGAAAUCAGUUUAUGGGGGUUCAACUCCUCCCUUCUUCG
RNAcentral lists this transfer RNA (71 nucleotides) under Xenocephalus elongatus (bulldog stargazer). Its description in RNAcentral is "tRNA-Ser". It matches the Rfam family "tRNA". From Rfam's summary of the family: Transfer RNA (tRNA) molecules are approximately 80 nucleotides in length. Their secondary structure includes four short double-helical elements and three loops (D, anti-codon, and T loops). Lineage: Eukaryota; Metazoa; Chordata; Actinopteri; Uranoscopiformes; Uranoscopidae. The record is from RNAcentral.